AAAGUCGUAACAAGGUUUCCGUAGGUGAACCUGCGGAAGGAUCAUUAAUGAAAUGCCGUUGGCGGGGGGGAGUGCCGCGGCCUCGGCCUGCGCCGCCCGCCCCCUUUCCAUCCAUAUCCAUCAUCCCUGUGAACGGUCCUGCCGGUGCAUGCACAUGCGUAGUCUAUGGUUGCGCGUAGUGUAUUGUUGCCGUGCAUGGUGGUGUGUGGUGGUGGUGCGAGCCGCCGCCGCCGCCCUUCUAUAUAAACACGUUAAUGAAUGUCUGUUGGAUUAUACACAAUGUAAAUACAACUUUUAGCAACGGAUCUCUUGGCUCUC
This 318-nucleotide unclassified non-coding RNA is filed under the name Basidiomycota sp. RNAcentral describes it as "partial contains small subunit ribosomal RNA, internal transcribed spacer 1, and 5.8S ribosomal RNA". The stretch from base 1 to 47 matches the Rfam family "Eukaryotic small subunit ribosomal RNA", at positions 1785 to 1831 of the family's 1831-position model. Lineage: Eukaryota; Fungi; Basidiomycota. The record is from RNAcentral.